CUUGAGCUCCCACCAACGACCUGCUUCCCCUACCAGCAUGUAGGAAGCAAGGGCAGCUCUCUGCUCGGGAACCACUCCCAAGGUCUUGAAAGCUCUCUCAGUCUCCGCCAACCAGUACUGGGCAUCUUCAAAAGAGGAUCCCCCUGCAAAAGUGGAAGGGUUCAGUCUCCUGUACCUCUCUAUGUAGCCCGGGUCGAUCAAGGAAGGAG
This 209-nucleotide long non-coding RNA is filed under the name Carica papaya (papaya). RNAcentral describes it as "long non-coding RNA (CPAP_LNC001185)". Lineage: Eukaryota; Viridiplantae; Streptophyta; Magnoliopsida; Brassicales; Caricaceae. The record is from RNAcentral.